RNAcentral lists this long non-coding RNA (646 nucleotides) under Elaeis guineensis (African oil palm). RNAcentral describes it as "long non-coding RNA (EGUI_LNC030839)". Lineage: Eukaryota; Viridiplantae; Streptophyta; Magnoliopsida; Arecales; Arecaceae. The record is from RNAcentral.
AUUUGAUGAACCCCCUUACUCUCUAUGUAUGAGGCACCCUGAUUUAGCUCCAUAUGCAAGAGAAGCAACAGUAGUGGAUUGCUAAAGGCACUUCCUUUUCUUCACUAAUGAUAUAGUAAUUAUCAAUGAGCUGCCUUCCAACUAGAUCUUCAUCAUUUUAUGAUACCCUGAGAGAUCUAUAAACCCUUCGAGCAAACCUUAGAUUUAACAUGGAAAUAGUAUCAGUCUAGAGGAGGAAAGCAACAGCAUGUAAUAACAUCACACCUGCUGUCUGGCUUUGUCAAUCCACAACCUCUUUGAAUUUAUUUUUGAUUUUAAAAUAUGCACAUGGCAUUAUCCAACAAAAUGGAGAAGAUUUUAACCUUAGAACAGGCAUGCAUUAUAAGUGAACAUAUGUCCCCGUAAAUUUAAGAAUGUCUCUAAAUUUCUUUCUGGUGAGAUAUCAACCUUUUAGUGCCUUGGAGAUAAACGCAAUUCUCCAUAACUAAUUAUGACUUAUUUUCUCUUCAUCUAGUGAUGCAGGACAACCCUAGGCAACCUAAUAAUUGAUGUCACACAAAUUUGACAAACCCUAACACAAAUUUAUGCAAACUUAAAUGCUAUGGAUGUACAAAUCUGAAAUUAUGAUUACAUGCAACACUAAAUG